CCUACGGGAGGCAGCAGUAGGGAAUCUUCCACAAUGGGCGAAAGCCUGAUGGAGCAACGCCGCGUGAGUGAUGAAGGCCUUCGGGUUGUAAAACUCUGUCAUUCGGGACGAACCGGAGUCUGAGGAAAUGCAGACUCUCUGACGGUACCGGAGGAGGAAGCCCCGGCUAACUACGUGCCAGCAGCCGCGGUAAUACGUAGGGGGCAAGCGUUGUCCGGAUUCACUGGGCGUAAAGCGCGCGCAGGCGGUGAUGUAAGUCUGAGGUGAAAACCCGAAGCUCAACUUCGGGACUGCCUUGGAUACUGCGUCACUUGAGGAUAGGAGAGGCAAGGGGAAUUCCACGUGUAGCGGUGAAAUGCGUAGAGAUGUGGAGGAACACCUGUGGCGAAGGCGCCUUGCUGGCCUAUUUCUGACGCUGAGGCGCGAAAGCGUGGGGAGCAAACAGGAUUAGAUACCCUGGUAGUCCACGCUGUAAACGAUGAGUGNGUAGUGUAGGUAGGGUCGUCACUACCACUCUGUGCGACGACGAACGACGAUAAGUAGACUUCCGCCGUCGGGUUAGGGUUACGGGUACGGCGAGACGAGAAACGUUAAAAGUUAAGUUAAGUUAGUUACGGACGGUUGGAGGACGACGACCGAACGGACGGACCGAACCGAACGGGGAAGGGUAAGGGUAGG
RNAcentral lists this ribosomal RNA (678 nucleotides) under uncultured bacterium. RNAcentral's name for it is "bacterial SSU rRNA". The stretch from base 1 to 552 matches the Rfam family "Bacterial small subunit ribosomal RNA", at positions 338 to 873 of the family's 1533-position model. The record is from RNAcentral.